AUUGAACGCUGGCGGCAUGCCUUACACAUGCAAGUCGAACGGUAACAGGCCUUCGGGUGCUGACGAGUGGCGAACGGGUGAGUAAUGCAUCGGAACGUGCCCAGAGGUGGGGGAUAACGCAGCGAAAGCUGUGCUAAUACCGCAUGUGAUCUGAGGAUGAAAGCGGGGGACCAGGCAGCAAUGUUUGGCCUUGCGCCUUUGGAGCGGCCGAUGUCAGAUUAGGUAGUUGGUGGGGUAAAGGCCUACCAAGCCGACGAUCUGUAGCUGGUCUGAGAGGACGACCAGCCACACGGGAACUGAGACACGGCCCAGACUCCUACGGGAGGCAGCAGUGGGGAAUUUUGGACAAUGGGCGCAAGCCUGAUCCAGCAAUGCCGCGUGCGGGAAGAAGGCCUUCGGGUUGUAAACCGCUUUUGUACGGAACGAAAAGGCUCUGGCUAAUACCUGGGGCUGAUGACGGUACCGAAAGAAUAAGCACCGGCUAACUACGUG
Molecule: ribosomal RNA, 492 nt
Filed under: uncultured bacterium
Lineage: Bacteria
Description: partial 16S ribosomal RNA
Rfam family: Bacterial small subunit ribosomal RNA
Source: RNAcentral